Aegilops tauschii subsp. strangulata is the source of this 1891-nucleotide long non-coding RNA. RefSeq lists it as uncharacterized. NCBI's taxonomy places the organism in Eukaryota, Viridiplantae, Streptophyta, Magnoliopsida, Poales, Poaceae. The record is from RefSeq and is a predicted model, not a curated record.
ACAUUUCUGUCGUUUCCGAAACUACCCUCCCACUCUCUCGCUCGCUUAGCUCAGCCACUCGCUCGCUGGCUCUCGAACCCCUAGCUCACCGCCACCGGCGCCUCUCCGUCGCACGCGUUGCCGGCGCCUCUACCCCGCACGCAGCGCCUCCGCCUCUCCCUCUCGCGUCGUCGCCGCCUUUCCAUGUUGCCAUACACCGUCGCCUCUCCCUCUUCAAGAUUUCAUUUUUACUCCAGCGGCUAGAUCUGAAGCGCGGCUGCUCCACCUUCCUCAGGGUUGCGGGGAUCUCCGGCGGCUGGAUCUGAAGCGCGGCUGCUCCACCUUCCUCAGGGUGGCGGGGAUCUCCGGCUCGCUGCGCAUGGGAAGGGCCCGACCGCCGGCGGCCGCUGCGGGCAGAAUGGGAACUGCGUCGGCGACGUCGUCGGCGACGUCGUCGGCGUCCCAGGGACAGGGCACGGCGGCACGCACUGCGGGACAGGGCACGGCGGCACGCACUGCGUGACAGGGCACGGCGACACGCACUGCCGUUGCCGCCGUCCGCCAGCGCGCCGCUGGCCGACAGGAGCAGCCACAACCACGAGGCCACGACGAGCAGGACUGUUGGCGACGGGUUGGUGCAGUCCCGCGAGGACCGCGCCGUGUGGGAUGCCGAGAUGACGUUGCCGGAGAAGGAGUCUCCGACUACCUCACGCCCACCGCUGGCCUGCACAUCAGGUCGCCGAGCCCGUACGCCGGUGUGAGCAGCCUGGGUUGCCGGGUGCUCGCCGUCCGGCAGCACACCACGGUGCGACACGGGGUGGUGGAGGCCGAGGCUCACCUAGGUCGAGACCAUAUGGUGGCAGUAGGAGGGGACAGAGCACCGUGUGGUGUGAGCGCCGAUUGAAAAUCACCAGCGAGUCCUACUUCAACUACGAUGCAAUGUGGAGUGAAGUUGAGGUCUGGGAGAUCCAUUUUCUCCUGAAGAUAUGAAUAUGUAAGAUGAAGUAGAAGUACAAGUAGAAGCACAAGUUCACAGUUGAUUUGACUUCAGUGGAGACCAAUAUGGUAUUUUUUGAUAUGGCGGAUCCACGUAUAACACCUGGCAAACUAUGCCAAGCCCUGGAAACUGUUCAGGCAAUAUUGUGAACAGUCGAUGCAGGGUAGAACUGCUUAAUGAUACACAUGAGUCUGAUUUUCAGGUGGCCAAAUACACACGAGUCUAAACAAGACAUGGGUCUGCUUUCCUCUUAAGCAGAUAUGAUCAUCAAGCUGUUUCCAGUGACAGCAGCGGAGCCUGGGGAGAGGAGAUGAACCUGGGCCUGGGGUGAGGACAGCCUGGGAUGAGGAGAGCCUGGGCAGCAGCCGAGCCUAGCUCCAGCUCGCCUCAACCUGGGCGGACUUGGAGAGGAGGAGUCCCUGGAGAUGGAGAGGAGUCCCUGGGCAUGGAGAGGAGGAGCGCCUGGGCGCCUGCGUUGGUCUGGAUGGAGGUGGAGCUAUGGCGCCUGGAGGUCUGGGGUGGAGCGCCGGCGAGGGAGCUUCUGAUCGCGGCGGGGAAGGGCGAUCAAAGAGGGGAUCUGGCUCUCGAUUGGAGCGGCGCAGGCAGCCGGCGGGGAAGGACGCCGGAGAUGCGGACGACGGAGGAGCCUGGCGAAGGGGGGGGAGGGACGGAGUCCUCCUCCGCCUGGCGAAGGGGAGGAGCGACGGAGUCCUGGCGGAGGGAAGGAGCGAUGGAGAAAGACGACGACCUGAGCGCGAUUUCAAUUCGGGGGCAGUUUUGUAAUUUCACUACUUUUCACCUGGUCGGAAAAGACCCCCCAGCGACAAUUAUUUCGGAACGGAGGGAGUAUUUCCUUAUAUCAUGAUAAAUGUUUAUUAUUCAUGCUAGAAUUGUAUUAACCGGAAACUUGAUACA